UAGCAGUGGGGAAUUUUGGACAAUGGGCGAAAGCCUGAUCCAGCAAUGCCGCGUGUGUGAUGAAGGCCUUAGGGUUGUAAAGCUCUUUUACCAGGGAUGAUAAUGACAGUACCUGGAGAAUAAGCUCCGGCUAACUCCGUGCCAGCAGCCGCGGUAAUACGGAGGGAGCUAGCGUUGUUCGGAAUUACUGGGCGUAAAGCGCACGUAGGCGGUUACUCAAGUCAGAGGUGAAAGCCCGGGGCUCAACCCCGGAACUGCCUUUGAAACUAGGUAACUAGAAUCCUGGAGAGGUGAGUGGAAUUCCGAGUGUAGAGGUGAAAUUCGUAGAUAUUCGGAAGAACACCAGUGGCGAAGGCGGCUCACUGGACAGGUAUUGACGCUGAGGUGCGAAAGCGUGGGGAGUAAACAGGAUUAGAUACCCUGGUAGUCCACGCCGUARACGAUGAUAACUAGCUGUCCGGGUKCAUGGAAUUGGGGUGGCGCAGCUAACGCAUUAAGUUAUC
Molecule: ribosomal RNA, 503 nt
Filed under: uncultured bacterium
Lineage: Bacteria
Description: bacterial SSU rRNA
Rfam family: Bacterial small subunit ribosomal RNA
Source: RNAcentral